GACGAACGCUGGCGGCGUGCUUAACCCAUGCAAGUCGAACGGAAAGGCCCUGCUUUUGUGGGGUGCUCGAGUGGCGAACGGGUGAGUAACACGUGAGUAACCUGCCCUUGACUUUGGGAUAACUUCAGGAAACUGGGGCUAAUACCGGAUAGGAGCUCCUGCUGCAUGGUGGGGGUUGGAAAGUUUCGGCGGUUGGGGAUGGACUCGCGGCUUAUCAGCUUGUUGGUGGGGUAGUGGCUUACCGAGGCUUUGACGGGUAGCCGGCCUGAGAGGGUGACCGGCCACAUUGGGACUGAGAUACGGCCCAGACUCCUACGGGAGGCAGCAGUGGGGAAUAUUGCACAAUGGGCGGAAGCCUGAUGCAGCAACGCCGCGUGCGGGAUGACGGCCUUCGGGUUGUAAACCGCUUUCGCCUGUGACGAAGCGUGAGUGACGGUAAUGGGUAAAGAAGCACCGGCUAACUACGUG
This 468-nucleotide ribosomal RNA is filed under the name uncultured bacterium. RNAcentral describes it as "partial 16S ribosomal RNA". It matches the Rfam family "Bacterial small subunit ribosomal RNA", at positions 28 to 507 of the family's 1533-position model. The record is from RNAcentral.